Long non-coding RNA from Strigops habroptila (Kakapo), 233 nucleotides. RefSeq lists it as uncharacterized. NCBI's taxonomy places the organism in Eukaryota, Metazoa, Chordata, Aves, Psittaciformes, Psittacidae. The record is from RefSeq and is a predicted model, not a curated record. The transcript has 3 exons.
CAAGUCAGAGCCAUGACCCUGCUUCUUCCUCUUCCAUUUUGCCAGCUCGAUCCAUUGGUUGCAUCCUGUUGCAAGAAAAGUUAUCUUUCCUUGGAUGAUUAAAAAUGCUCAGCCCCAAACCUAUGGAUUGAUGAUCAUUACUGAUGGAAAUGCCUGGAAUAAACUCACACUGGAUUCAUGCGAAACCACCUCCUCAUCCAUAAAACGUGAUAAUGGCUGAAGAUCAAAAGAGC